AUUCCAUGAUGUGGACAUUCUAGGAUGUAGUCUUGAAAGCGCUCCCAUGCUUCUAGAACAGAUUCAUCAUUUUGUUGCUGAAAACUUUUAAUCUUCCCACGGAGAGC
RNAcentral lists this small nucleolar RNA (107 nucleotides) under Sorghum bicolor (sorghum). Its description in RNAcentral is "Plant small nucleolar RNA R71". It matches the Rfam family "Plant small nucleolar RNA R71". Rfam says of the family: R71 is a member of the C/D box family of snoRNAs containing the C (UGAUGA) and D (CUGA) box motifs. Multiple nearly identical copies of this snoRNA have been identified in Arabidopsis, and it is thought to function as a 2'-O-ribose methylation guide for 18S ribosomal RNA. Lineage: Eukaryota; Viridiplantae; Streptophyta; Magnoliopsida; Poales; Poaceae. The record is from Rfam by way of RNAcentral.